Molecule: RNA transcript, 4267 nt
Organism: Hippocampus zosterae (dwarf seahorse)
Lineage: Eukaryota; Metazoa; Chordata; Actinopteri; Syngnathiformes; Syngnathidae
Gene: narf
Gene name: nuclear prelamin A recognition factor
Exons: 15
Source: RefSeq, a predicted model, not a curated record
GCGCAUGCGCUACUGUUGUGUACUGUACACUUCACCGGGUACGACAAUGGAGUUGAAUGUUCAUAGAUAUGAAUGGAUUGGGAUUGACAAACGCCGAUUCAUUUAAAACAGUUAUGAAAUAACGUCCUCGAACUACGUGGGGAGUCUCGGCGAUCGCUCAUAUACGGAUUUUUCCCCUCAAAUUCUAGUAGUAGCAGCAUUCAGUCACAGUGCUUGAGGAUUUGUUGAGCUCCCCUCCUUUUCUAUUGCUGCAGCUGGACCUUGUGCAAUGGUGCUAUGCGUCUCUUCAUUUUUUUCUGGCGCUUUUGCUUUUGCUUUUAACAGAGUCUGAACCCGAGCUUUGCCAUAUAUACACCACCAGAUAACUGAUUAACAAAAUGUCUGAGGUCAGCAUCGGGAGGCGCAAGGAAAAGUGUGAAAACUGCACCAAGCAGUGUAGCAAGAAACAGAGUGAUGGUGAAAUUAGCUCACACCAAGAGGGAGAGCAAGUCAACGGACAGGAGAAUGAGGGAUCACAGUUGUUGCUGAGUGCUUGUCUAUCCUGCGAUGGCUGUCUGUCUGAGGAGGAGAGCCUGAAAAUAUCUCAACAGAACUUGGAGGAGAUGGAGCGGGUUUUGGCUCUUAACAAGAAGUGUGACGUGACAAAGCACAGGGUUCUGGUGGCAUCAGUUUGUCCACAAUCGCUGCCGUUUUUCGCCAUCAAGUUUGGCGUGGAUAUCGUUGAGGCCGCCGGUAAACUUUGCGGUUUUCUCAAAAGCCUGGGAGUGCAGUUUGUGUUUGAUACUACUCUGGCAGCAGGCUUUAGCAUCAUAGAGAGUCAAAAGGAGUUUAUUCAGAGGUAUCGCAGGAAGCACCACGACUCCCACGCACUGCCCAUGUUCACCUCCUCCUGCCCUGGAUGGAUUCGCUAUUCGGAGCGUAUCCUCGGGAGUUUGGUCACACCUCACAUCUGCACAGCAAGGUCUCCGCAGCAAAUUAUGGGCUGUCUCGUCAAAGACUACUUCUCUAAGCAGCAGAAGCUAAAUGCGGAUAAAGUGUACCAUAUGGUGGUGGCUCCCUGCUUUGACAAAAAACUGGAGGCUGUCCGAGAAGAGUUUUACAACAGUCUGCUGGAGAGCAGGGAUGUGGACUGUGUCCUCACCUCAGGGGAAAUUUACUACCUGAUGCAACAGAAGAAGGUGUCUGCAGAGGAUAUGGACUCUUUUCCGUUGGACCAUGUCCUUGGAGAAGCUGGAGACACGGCCCUGGUUCGCCACGAAGGGCGCGGUUCCGACGGUUUCCUCGAACAUGUGUUCAAGUAUGCUGCCAAGGAGCUAUUUGGCCUGGAUGUCCACGAGAUCACGUACAAGACCCUCAGGAACCGUGACUUUCAGGAGGUGACACUAGAGCGAGACGGCGAAACGCUGCUGCAGUUUGCGGCCGUUUACGGUUUCAGGAACAUCCAGACUUUGGUGCACCGCAUGAGGAAGGGAAGAGUGCCUUACCAACUGGUGGAGGUGCUGUCCUGUCCAGGAGGGUGCUUGAGUGGCCGUGGUCAAGCCGAGAACGAGACAGCGGGCCGCGUCGAUAAACAACUGCUCCAGCAGAUGGAGGAGGUCUACAGCAGCCUGCCUGUCGCUCUCCCGGAGGUCAACCCGACUCUGCAGACGCUUUAUCAAGACUGGCUUCAGGGCCAGGAUUCCCAGCCGACCUGCAAGUUACUACACACCCAGUACAAGAAUCAGAGUCAGAGCCCUUUACAAACACCACACAUGCAGUGGUGAGAAUGAGGGAACAUGAAAACAUGUUUGGGACCCAGUUCUUGUUUGGAUAAAUUAAGGACCAUCCAAUACCUUUGAGCAAGUCAGAUGCAGUUCUUCCCCAUUGUCCGCUGGAGGGCGAAUGUAUAGGCUUUGGAAACAAGGGACAAGUUCAAAACAAAAAGACUUUAGUCCACAUAAGCAUCUGGAAAGUGAGGUAGCGAAUGUGGUCUAAUUGUUGCCAAACGAUAAGACAACUAAAACAACAUUAAGCACGAUGGAAACCAAUGAGCUGUUGUUGUGGAUACUGAUGGCACACCAAAACUUUUUAACCAACUCAGUCCAAAAUGACGCUUACAUGCAUAUUUGUUGUCUUUGCAGAAAACAUACAACAGCAGUGUUAGAAGGAUAACUAUGCAACAGUUUGAUGACCCCAUUAAGCCAGUAUACUAUAUGUAUCUUUUUUGAGCACUUAAAAAAAAAUCACAUAGGUAAGCGUUUUUGUCAUUUUCAAUUAAUUAUCAACUCUCCACUGGCAUUCCCUAAAUGUAGUUUGGUUAAACCCCGAGUUAGUCGUACCUUUGCCAAAUUAUUUGUUAGUGUUGUUUUUCUCUUUUUUAAUGCGAUGAAUGUGUAUAUUUUAUCUGGAAAUCAUUCAAGAAAAUGAAAGAAUUUGUAGCAUAUGCGCAGAGGAGUUGAAAGACAGGAGAUGUGUGCGAUACGCAUUUCCUUUGUAAACCUCAUACCUCCAUUUAAGCGUUCGUGUGAAAGUCGAGUCGGUUUGUCUUUCUGGUUGCUUGGUUCAAGUCGACACGCAGCCUUCGUGGCAAAGAUGAAAGCUCAAUGGUGGAGCUUUGUGCUUGGAUUGCUCUGUCUUCCCUCUGAGGUGAACACCUGGUCAGUUUUACAGGAUCCUUCACACACAUCAAUCGCAAGUCUCGACUCCUCUGAGAUAACAUGUUCCACCACGUUAUCCGAUCCAGUGGGAGUGUAUCUCAACAGACCUUUCCACGGCCAAAGAAAUGUGCUGUACCUGUCCUUGCACAAAGGUUCUUUAAUCAAGAACACCACAGCUGCGGAAUUCAAGGGUCGAAUUCAUAUAACCCCGUUCAGCCACAUGAUAAAAGGCCUUGGCUUCACAAUCAAGAUUUAUCCACUGCAGCUAGAAGACACUGGCUUGUACUACUGCAAAUGGGUCUUCUUCAGAUUGGAUGAUUUCACAGAGCAAAACCUUGUCAGCAAUGAGACCCUUCUCAUUUUCAGAGAUGCCAAACAAUGCAGCUAUGUUUUGGAUACCAUCUUGAUUGUUUUAACUGUAGCAGUAUUAACUGUCACAGUGGGAGCAGGAGCAGUGAUGAUGAGACGCAGAUACAAAUUUAAAAAGCACUUGAGACUGAGCAGAAGUUCAAGAGUAACUGCAACUAACAGGAUACAUCAUCAACUGCAACACAGGCGGCAAAAUUAUCCAUACAUUGAAAAUGCUGUAGACAUCAGAUACAUAAAUUAUUUUGGAAGCCCGGGCACUUGAGGUUACCAGUAGGUCAUUCUGCAUCUUGCACAAAGAAACAUGCUCUGCAAAUGUGUCAACACAUUUCUUUGACUUCCUUCUGUUUUGCAGUCCUGAGCAUGUUUAAGCGACCACAUCCUGACUGAUACGUGUGAUACAUGUGAUAUUUUAACAUGUGAUUUACCAGGGCAAGUAUUCUUUUCUUAUUCUACUCAAACAAGUGUAACAGCAGACCACGUUUAAUAAAAAAAUGUUGAAAUCUUGCUGGUGAACCCCAAAUUUAUUGGAAGAUAUUUAUAAAUUAAACUAGAAAAGAAAGAAGCAUCCUGACAUACAUAUCACAAUGAUUAUUUAAUCAUGAACGUGUGUUAUCAAUGUUAAAAGGUUGUGUAUCUGACAGUACAGCACACACACACACACACAUAUAUAUAUAUAUAUCUAUAUAUAUAUAUAUAUAUAUAGAGAGAGAGAGAGAGAGAGAGAGAGAGAGAGAGAGAGAGAGAGAGAGAGAUACCUGCAUAUAACAAAAAUAUACAAUUUCCCAAAUUAAUUUUAUGUAUGCAUUAAUCUAAAAUUUUAUUUCACGCUUAAAAUGAGCAGUAUAAUCAUUCAAAAGAAAACGAAAGAUAGACAAAAGAAAAAGAUGAGUACGAUUUAGAAAUCGUAAUUUAAUUAAUCAACAUUCUACCGUAAACAUUUUGCAUUUAAAUAAAUAUUUACAAUUUGAAAUGAGUUUUUUUAUGUAUUACAUCGUAUUUAUUAUGUUGUAGAAUCAACGUACACGCAGGCCCGCUAACUCCAGAAGAGUUUAAAAUCUUUUUCCUCAAAUGUUUUUGUUUUCAUUGUAAUUUGUAAUUUUCUUUAUACUGUAUUUCAUUAAAAUCAUCCUUGGGGGGAACAUUUGCCCUUGUAUUUAUUUUUCUGUCGGACUGCUUUUAGUGGUACACCGUCAGACCGAUGAAAUAACGAGAUGCUGCUUUCAUAAUGCGACCAAGUUAAUAAAUGUUUCAUUAAAACGUUG